UGAGGAAUAUUGGUCAAUGGGCGUAAGCCUGAACCAGCCAAGUAGCGUGAGGGAAGACUGCCCUAUGGGUUGUAAACCUCUUUUGUGCGGGGAUAAAGUGAGGGACGUGUCCCAUAUUGCAGGUACCGCACGAAUAAGGACCGGCUAAUUCCGUGCCAGCAGCCGCGGUAAUACGGAAGGUCCGGGCGUUAUCCGGAUUUAUUGGGUUUAAAGGGAGCGCAGGCCGUCCUUUAAGCGUGCUGUGAAAUGCCGCGGCUCAACCGUGGCACUGCAGCGCGAACUGGAGGACUUGAGUACGCACGAGGUAGGCGGAAUUCGUGGUGUAGCGGUGAAAUGCUUAGAUAUCACGAAGAACUCCGAUUGCGAAGGCAGCUUACCGGAGCGCAACUGACGCUGAGGCUCGAAAGCGCGGGUAUCGAACAGGAUUAGAUACCCUGGUAGUCCGCGCGGUAAACGAUGGAUGCCCGCCGUUGGGAUUUUGAUUUCAGCGGCCAAGCGAAAGCGUUAAGCAUCCCACCUGGGGAGUACGCCGGCAACGGUGAAACUCAAAGGAAUUGACGGGGGCCCGCACAAGCGGAGGAACAUGUGGUUUAAUUCGAUGAUACGCGAGGAACCUUACCCGGGCUUGAAUUGCAGGAGAACGAUCCAGAGAUGGUGAGGCCCUUCGGGGCUCCUGUGAAGGUGCUGCAUGGUUGUCGUCAGCUCGUGCCGUGAGGUGUCGGCUCAAGUGCCAUAACGAGCGCAACCCCUGUCCAUAGUUGCCAUCAGGUCGUGCUGGGCACUCUGUGGAGACUGCCGCCGUAAGGUGUGAGGAAGGUGGGGAUGACGUCAAAUCAGCACGGCCCUUACGUCCGGGGCUACACACGUGUUACAAUGGGGCAUACAGCGAGUUGGAUGUGCGCAAGUACGUCCGGAUCAAUAAAGUGCCUCUCAGUUCGGACUGGGGUCUGCAACCCGACCCCACGAAGCUGGAUUCGCUAGUAAUCGCGCAUCAGCCAUGGCGCGGUGAAUACGUUCCC
Molecule: ribosomal RNA, 1019 nt
Filed under: uncultured bacterium
Lineage: Bacteria
Description: bacterial SSU rRNA
Rfam family: Bacterial small subunit ribosomal RNA
Source: RNAcentral